UACGUAGGUGGCAAGCGUUUGUCCGGAUUUACUGGGCGUAAAGAGCGCGCAGGCGGUCGUCCAAGUCGCGUGUGAAAGCCCCCGGCUCAACUGGGGAGGGUCACGCGAUACUGGUCGACUCGAAGGCAGGAGAGGGUAGUGGAAUUCCCGGUGUAGUGGUGAAAUGCGUAGAUAUCGGGAGGAACACCAGUGGCGAAGGCGACUACCUGGCCUGUUCUUGACGCUGAGGCGCGAAAGCUAGGGGAGCAAACGGGG
RNAcentral lists this ribosomal RNA (255 nucleotides) under uncultured bacterium. RNAcentral describes it as "partial 16S ribosomal RNA". It matches the Rfam family "Bacterial small subunit ribosomal RNA", at positions 524 to 777 of the family's 1533-position model. The record is from RNAcentral.